ACGAAGAAUGAAAGAUUAAUUUGAUGAAACUCGAAGAAAACUUGAAGAUUCAGCAUCAUAUUGAAAGAACAAGAUAAGUUUCUCAUCAUAUUUUUGUUUCUAUUGAUUCUCAUUAUGUUUUAAUCAAAAAUAAGUUCUGAAAAGUUUAUUGACAGUUUCAAAUACCUAAUAAAUUCGAUUUUACUUCGAAGUUUGGUCUGAUUUUAUAAUCGUUGCUUCGAUCUAUCAUCCUUUUAUCAUUUUCUUUGAUUCGAACUAUUUUUUUUUUCGAAUUUUGUUUACGAAAUAUUUUUUAGGGUUUGUAAUCAGCUCUAUUGUAAUUUUUUUAUGAUUUCAACUAAAUUUUCUCGAUGAAAUUAAGAUUAGAGUUCAGAUCUGUUAUAAUCUAAUCCUUAUCUUGCUUUUAACAUGAAAAACCUGAAAGUAAAUCACGUGAUUUUUUCUAGGUUUUAUCAUUGAAGAUCAAUCGAUCAAUUUAUCUUAAAUCUCUUUUGAAAAUCGGUUUUCAUAUUCGAAAUCUACGAAUCAUCAUCUCUAUUACCCAUCUAUUUGUUAUGAAUUUCAUAUAUUUUUAUCUUUUAACUAGUUCAAGCUAAUAUCUACUUGUAUCUGAUCUUGAAUGUUUUAUUUUAAAAUGUAAUCAAAAUUGGAAUUAGUUGUUUGAUUGCCUGAUAUUAAAAUUUUAUUCUCCGUGGAGAAAUUAUCAGAUUCAGUAUUUAACACCGAAUUCUCUAUGUUACAGAAUCUAUACCUCAUUUGGUUUUUUGGGUUUUUGGACGGACUAUUUGUUUGAUGUAUUUGCGUAGGAAUACAAUUAAGUACGAUGAUUUUCCGGAAGUAGAGGUUUCAGAGGAGUAUUUUGGAGUCGGUGGUGCAGGUAAAUUCAUUGUUUACAGUUAAGCUCGAGAUAGGCGUGGUAAUUAAGCUCCCUACUUUAAUUGUUUACAGUUACAAAUACUUCCGUUGGUAUGACAUGAGCAGCUUGUGCUAUUUUCACUUGAAGUUAUGGUGUUGGAAUCCAUGGUGUUCUAAUAUCUUUUGUCGCAUGAGUUUUCAAAUAACAGAUUGCAAAAAACUUCAAGAGCUAACUAAGGGUCUUGGUGUUGGUGGUAAUUAUGAUUUUGGUAUGAAUGCUGCUUAAGAGAAAGUAGAGAAGCAAUAUAGGAGGCACUUUUAUGGUUCCGAGAUCGUAUUUCUAAUGGUGCAGAGACAUAUAAAGGGAGGCGCAGAAAACACAAAAGAACUACCUUUUUAUCACCAUUUUGACGCCUGCAAGUGUUUGACAGAGAUCGUGAAAUAUUGAAGUGAAGGUCAGUGACUAUCCGAGUAAAUAGAAUAGGAAUAAGCCAAGUGGUGUUGUUAACCAAGAAAAUAGUGGAGACACCAACGGUUCGCAUAGGUCAUGUGCUUCUAUAUACCUAGCUCAAUGGAUGUGUAGGCGUGGUAUUCCGCAAUGGGUUUUGAAGUUGAAAAACGAGCUCACAGUCAAGGUAUAUGAAACCCAUUGCCGUUUAGCUCUAGAGGCUGGGGACUUGCCGGAGUUUAAUCGUGUUGGCUACUGAUUCUUUUAUUUCAUUUUGUGUGUCUCUAUGGUCAUGUUCUUCAGACGGAGUAAUGAGAUUUUCAGCCUUUUUAGUUCUUUCAUUUUGCCGAACCAUCAUUUCCUUCAGAUGUGCAAAUAUAUUGAAAUCGAGAAAGAUAAAAAAGGAAGAAAACAUUUCUAUUAUAGGAUAUAAUGGAUUUUUCUAAGAUUUCGCUUUCCAUAUCUCGUGUUUUAAUUCGUUCAUUGUGUUCAAACAACCAAUUACUAUAAUUGUAGUAAUUGAUGAACGGAAAAAUUAUUGUAAAUAAAAAUUAAAGUAAUGCAUAUAUUUUAUGA
Molecule: long non-coding RNA, 1879 nt
Organism: Papaver somniferum (opium poppy)
Lineage: Eukaryota; Viridiplantae; Streptophyta; Magnoliopsida; Ranunculales; Papaveraceae
Exons: 7
Source: RefSeq, a predicted model, not a curated record